Chlorocebus sabaeus (green monkey) is the source of this 117-nucleotide non-coding RNA. It matches the Rfam family "Metazoan signal recognition particle RNA". Rfam says of the family: The signal recognition particle (SRP) is a universally conserved ribonucleoprotein. The record is from Rfam. Lineage: Eukaryota; Metazoa; Chordata; Mammalia; Primates; Cercopithecidae.
GCCAGGCGCGGUGGCUCAUGCCUGUAAUCCCAGCACUUUGGGAGGCUGAGGCGGGUGGAUCAUCUGAGGUCAGGAGUUCAAGACCAGCCUGACCAAUAUGAUGAAAUCCCGUCUCUA